UGCGUAGGUGGCGCCGUAAGUCGGGUGUGAAAUUUCGGAGCUUAACUCCGAAACUGCAUUCGAUACUGCGGUGCUUGAGGACUGGAGAGGAGACUGGAAUUCAUGGUGUAGCAGUGAAAUGCGUAGAGAUCAUGAGGAAGACCAGUGGCGAAGGCGGGUCUCUGGACAGUUCCUGACACUGAGGCACCGAAGGGCCCAGGGGAAGGCAAACG
This 212-nucleotide ribosomal RNA is filed under the name uncultured bacterium. Its description in RNAcentral is "partial 16S ribosomal RNA". The stretch from base 1 to 187 matches the Rfam family "Bacterial small subunit ribosomal RNA", at positions 568 to 754 of the family's 1533-position model. The record is from RNAcentral.